UCACUUGAAGAAUCAUCCAAUGUCUUGAUGGUUAUGAGGACUUUCCUUUUCCUCUCCUUCCCUUCUUUUUUUAAACUAAAAUUGUGGGGAAAGAAACCUCUGAGCAGAUUUGAUUAAAUAAUGCACCCAAGCAACACCAAAGGAAAACAAAUACCAACCAUUAAGAAGAUGGCCACACCCCAACACACAUAAGGGAAAAAAGAAACAAGAGAGAAAGGAAAAAAAACUAAACUAGACCAAACUUAGCUAAAAACAAAACAAAGUAGAACUAAACU
RNAcentral lists this long non-coding RNA (275 nucleotides) under Sorghum bicolor (sorghum). RNAcentral's name for it is "long non-coding RNA (SBIC_LNC006980)". Lineage: Eukaryota; Viridiplantae; Streptophyta; Magnoliopsida; Poales; Poaceae. The record is from RNAcentral.